GUUAUAAUUCUCGGUGACAGCGGGUACUCUUAUCGGUUCUCCCUCUCUCUCAAUUUUGAUUGCCAUUGUUCUGUAUCGAUUUCGAUAUUGUUGAGAACGGAGACCGCUGCAAUUUAACUCUAUACUUGUGUUUGUUUAUCUUUUUAAUUUUUGAAUUUUGUUAUUUAUUUAUUUUUAAUUUUCAAUGGUAAUAUGGCAGGGUUGGGAAGAC
RNAcentral lists this unclassified non-coding RNA (211 nucleotides) under Hevea brasiliensis (rubber tree). Lineage: Eukaryota; Viridiplantae; Streptophyta; Magnoliopsida; Malpighiales; Euphorbiaceae. The record is from RNAcentral.